AUUCUUAUAGCUUAUAUAGAGUAGAUUAGUGAAGUUAAUCAGGAAAUUAAUAUUUAAGAAUA
RNAcentral lists this transfer RNA (62 nucleotides) under Chanohirata hamata. RNAcentral describes it as "tRNA-Phe". Lineage: Eukaryota; Metazoa; Arthropoda; Insecta; Hemiptera; Cicadellidae. The record is from RNAcentral.